Molecule: non-coding RNA, 444 nt
Organism: Cinara cedri
Lineage: Eukaryota; Metazoa; Arthropoda; Insecta; Hemiptera; Aphididae
Source: the annotation of a GenBank genome assembly
UCGAUUUAUUUAUUGGCUUCUUCCGUUUUGUAAAUCCUAGGUCCUCUCCAUCAUUGGCUGCGUACGCUAUUACAAUAUAGUGACGUAUUUAUAGGAUUUCGUCAAGGAAGGAGAUGUCGAAUUUGGAAAUUGUGUCGUAUUGUAUAACGCGUAUACAUAGGCUGAGAAAAAAAAAAAUUUAAAUUUCUAUAUUUCUGUUUACAAAUUAAAAAAAUAAAAAAAAAAAAACAGUAUUGUAAAACCAAUAAGUUCCUCCUCGAACCACUUAGAAUCUAAAAAAAAAAAAAAAUCAAAAACCAAACGCGCGUCACAUUAUGUCCUUCGGUAAAAUCGAUGACCCGCCUGUGCACGCUAUGCCAAUCUGUGGUGAUAUUAAAAGACGUCGCGAGAGUCUGUGACUGAAUUGUCUACGACACGAGCACGCGUAUAAUCGCUCCGUUGUUU